Molecule: long non-coding RNA, 101 nt
Organism: Octodon degus (degu)
Lineage: Eukaryota; Metazoa; Chordata; Mammalia; Rodentia; Octodontidae
Exons: 3
Source: RefSeq, a predicted model, not a curated record
CAGUGUGUGUGUGUGUUUGUGUGUGUGUGUGUGUGUGUGUGUGUGUGUGUGUGUGUGUGUGUGUAUGGGGGAAUCCAAGUGUGGGUUACAUGGGUGUCGGG